GACGAACGCUGGCGGCGUGCUUAACACAUGCAAGUCGAACGGCAAGGCCCUGCUUUUGUGGGGUGCUCGAGUGGCGAACGGGUGAGUAACACGUGAGUAACCUGCCCUUGACUUUGGGAUAACUUCAGGAAACUGGGGCUACUACCGGAUAGGAGCUCCUGCUGCAUGGUGGGGGUUGGAAAGUUUCGGCGGUUGGGGAUGGACUCGCGGCUUAUCAGCUUGUUGGUGGGGUAGUGGCUUACCAAGGCUUUGACGGGUAGCCGGCCUGAGAGGGUGACCGGCCACAUUGGGACUGAGAUACGGCCCAGACUCCUACGGGAGGCAGCAGUGGGGAAUAUUGCACAAUGGGCGGAAGCCUGAUGCAGCAACGCCGCGUGCGGGAUGACGGCCUUCGGGUUGUAAACCGCUUUCGCCUGUGACGAAGCGUGAGUGACGGUAAUGGGUAAAGAAGCACCGGCUAACUACGU
RNAcentral lists this ribosomal RNA (467 nucleotides) under uncultured bacterium. RNAcentral's name for it is "partial 16S ribosomal RNA". It matches the Rfam family "Bacterial small subunit ribosomal RNA", at positions 28 to 506 of the family's 1533-position model. The record is from RNAcentral.